CUUCCUUUCCUUAGUGACCCUUGCUGUGUCAGCCUUUCUCUGCAUGAUCAGUUUGCUGUGAUCUAUGGAAAACUCCCACCUCAGGAAUUUGAAGCCUGUGGAAUGACUGAUGGUGGAAUUUCAAGAAUCAAGGGAGGCAAGUGAAGAUGAAACUUCAAAGCAGCAGAGGUUUCUUAACACCCUUCGAUGUUUAGGAUACAAGUGACCACUUAUUCAGGAGGCAUUCAUGGGCAUUUCAGAAGCACUAAUAUUUUAUCUAGAGGGUGAAGAAAUACUAAGAGCAAAGCCACUGUUGCAACCUGUGGCAGGA
Molecule: long non-coding RNA, 310 nt
Organism: Lontra canadensis (Northern American river otter)
Lineage: Eukaryota; Metazoa; Chordata; Mammalia; Carnivora; Mustelidae
Exons: 3
Source: RefSeq, a predicted model, not a curated record